UACGGAGGUCCCAAGCGUUGUUCGGAUUCACUGGGCGUAAAGGGUGCGUAGGUGGUUCGGCAAGUCUUGUGUGAAAUCUUCAGGCUCAACUUGAAGUCUGCACAAGAAACUGCCGGGCUUGAGUAUGGGAGAGGUGAGUGGAAUUUCCGGUGUAGCGGUGAAAUGCGUAGAUAUCGGAAGGAACACCUGUGGCGAAAGCGGCUCACUGGACCAUUACUGACACUGAGGCACGAAAGCUAGGGGAGCAAACAGG
RNAcentral lists this ribosomal RNA (253 nucleotides) under uncultured bacterium. RNAcentral describes it as "partial 16S ribosomal RNA". It matches the Rfam family "Bacterial small subunit ribosomal RNA", at positions 524 to 776 of the family's 1533-position model. The record is from RNAcentral.